UGAACACAGAUGGCACAUAAGCACAGAGGACGUGGUGUGGGCUGUGGGUCCAGGGCAGAGAGGAAGGACGUUCCAGCCUCUGCAGAGCAACAGUCCUAGGUGAAGAACAGUGUGAUGCUGGGGAAGGCUCUAGAACGAAGGCAGCGAAGCCCUGCGUGUGUCAGGUACGGGUGAACACCCACCUCCUUCCCCUCAGUCCUAUGAAAACAGCCUCAUUCCCAGAGCCAGA
Molecule: long non-coding RNA, 229 nt
Filed under: Bos indicus x Bos taurus (hybrid cattle)
Lineage: Eukaryota; Metazoa; Chordata; Mammalia; Artiodactyla; Bovidae
Description: lncRNA (ENSBIXG00005004238.1)
Source: RNAcentral